UUUUUUUUUUUUUUUUUCUUUUUCUCUCAUUAGGGCCGUACCUGUGGCAUAUGUAAGUUCUCAGCUCAAAUCAGAGCUAUGGCUGCCAGUCUACACCACAGCCAUAGCAACACGGGAUUUGAGCCAUAUCUGUGACCCACACCACCACAGCUCGUGGCAACACUGGAUUCUUAACUCACUGGGUGAGUGGGUUAAGACAGACUGAAUCCGCGUCCUCAUGGUUACUAGUUGGGUACUUAACCCACUGAGCAACAGGAACGCCCCAGAUUCUGUAUUUUAAAAAGCACAGCACAGUGUUGCUGUGGCUGUGGUGUAGGCCAGCAGCUGUAGCUCCAACUGGAUCCUAGCCUGGGAACCUCCAAAUGCUGCGGGUGCGGCCCUAAAAAAAAGCACAGCACAUUGGGAUGUCUCCUGGCCCCACCACUGCUGGCAUCAGGGAACCAGUGAUUUGAGUCGGAGGGCCUAAGGUCAGUGAUGAGCUGAGGCUGGCUUGUCCCAGCUCACAAGAGCUGACUGCUGAAUUUUCAGGCAUCAUGCAAACCGUUAUCAAAAGUUAUAUAAGUUUACUAUUAAAUAAAUUAUAUCAAAACCAAAGCUAAUACUCAAAGCUCAUCAUGUCCUACUCACUCACCACAUUUUACUAUUAUCUGUGUUCUUGAGGUUUUCACAUCUGUUGUAUAUGGAGUGGUGGGAAAUGCUAUGUAAUGGUCUACGGCCAUGCAUCUCUUCCCAAGUCCAUGCUCAGGGAGAUCACGUUGGUAACUUGAGAUCCAAACAUUUAUACCAUGGAAAUCAGCAAACACUAAAAAUGGGGGCUUGAUUUAUUACUGAUUGUCUCUAGAUAUAAGAAAAUGAUGGAAAAGUGUAAAUAAUGCAUAUUAAACUUAAAAACAUGUCAUGCCUGUAGCUAGCACAUUGUGAAUAGCACAAAAGUAGAAGAAAUAGUCUUUCAAUAUUUGAAAAUUGCCUGAUUUUAGAGAAGAUGUUACUCUCUCUUUGCUGACAAACAAGCAAAAUUCCAAAAUAUGAUGUCUUCCUUGUUUCAGCAAUCAGUUGACUAUAUCAUGUAAAGAAAACCAUCAACCAACAUUCAUGUGGGGAACGAGACUUAAAGCAUUCUUUGCGAAUCACUGCGUUGCUGUGGCUGUGGCGUAGGCCGGCAGCUGAGCUAUAUAAAAUACAUAAUAAAGGGUAUUGUAUGUUUUAUUGUUUGUGAACUUUGUAUUUUAUCGAGGUCUUACUGUAUGCAUGUACUGUAUUUAAUAGUAUAUUAAAUAAGAGCAUAUUAAAGAGAAAAUUGUAUAUUCUAUUAAAUUUGUGAGUUACAUGUAUAUUUUUUGUACAUCAGGAAAAUUUCUAGUAGACUUACAUUUCAUUAUAUAUGGAUACACACUUCUUUCUAGAGAUCCGGUUGUUAGAACAUUUACCAGCCUACCACCGCCCAAGCCAAGAACAAAAACAGGCUGGGCAGCUUCUUUGCUUUCUAUCCUACAGGUCCACACCCUUAUCUCAGCUCUUUAGUUUACCAUUCCCCUGUCGGAGAGAAACACAAAGAAUUGUAUAAGAACACAAAUCAAUAGGAAGAGAUUUUCAUGAAGAUGCAAAGCAGGUAAUUGAAUUGGCCUAAGCCAGCCCUUCCUACGGAGGAUGUCUUGCGAUCUUCCAAGCGGAGGCAAUCUUAGGCUGAUCAGACACACCCGCCAUGUGGAAAAAAAUAAGGGAGAAUCCUAACAGACAGCACGCUUGAGACCAUAACCUAAUAAAUGUCCCUCCCCUUGAACCCACAUCAAUGGCUCCUUGGGAGCGGAGGAGGGAUGGGUAGAGCUGUCAAAGUAGUGAACAAGAGGUCUGAAUCCUCUUGUCCAAUUUGGGACAUGUCUGGGGUACAUAAAGCUCAAAGAUCUCCCCCUUUCACCAAGCAGAGAAUACCAUGGUUCCUUACACAUUUUAAUACUAUCAUUGCUCAUGAUUUAAAAAUAUCUUUCUCGGAAGUUCCCAUUAUGGUGCAGUGGAACGAAUCCGACUAGUAUCCAUGAGGACGCAUAAUGGGAACUCCUUCCCCAUCCAAGUUCUUAAUGAUUCUUCUCUUAAAAAAACUAAAGAAGCAAAAGUCUACCAAAUAUCUGUUUUUAUCUGAGUACCAUGAGGCAGAAACUCCUGCUAAAGAGUCAUCCUACAAUUAAAGUGUAAUUUUUCAAUUAUGAGAAAACACAAUUGGUGCAGAUAAGGUAAACUGCUUUUGAAUGUUUACUUACGUUACUGCAAAUAUAAAUGCACAAAAAGACUUCUCUGAUCUCCUAAUAAGAGAUGAGUCAACGCUACCAUCAUAAAAAUGUUCACUUAACUACCCACCUGAAAAGGAAACUGACCUUGGAACCAUUUAGAAAAAAACACCACGUUAUGGGCUAGUCCUGACAAAAGGUUAAGUAAUACUUUUACUUGAUCGGUAUGUUCCCGAAACCAAGGCACAGAACGAGACUCCCCAAGUCCUUAAAAAAGGAAUGUGUUUGGUGAAGGUCAGACUGACACAUUUAGGGGCUGCGAGGGAUGAAGAGUGGGAGAAUCGCAGCCAGCCCGGCAUCCUACAACAUAUGAGCCUUGUGUUAUAUUUUAUGAAUUAAUCACUACAUUAGUGAUAGUAAGGAUGAGGGGUGGGAAAUGAUACACUUCAAAGAAAAACAUAGCCAAGACAAUCACAAAACGAUCUGGGGAAAAUCAAAGAGAUAUUUCUACUUACCACACUCUGGUAUCCGCACAGAAAGAACAUGUACUUUCAACCACAAAGACAUUUAUUAAGUUAAAAAAAUUUAUUAGACUUUUCUUUUUCCAUAGCUCAUUAUCUCAUAGCAAAACUAAAGUACUCUUUGGUCAUCCCCCGAUACCUUGCCCUCUAAAUAAGAACAUCGAGGUGUUUUCCUGUUGGCCCCUUAAUUAUUAAUUCACGCCAGUUACCAGCCUUCCAUGAAUCAGGUUAAAGGUCAUAAAUAUUAACAUCUAGACGACACUAAGGUUAUUGCGGCUUUAGACAGAAACUUAUUUCCGUAAUAUUCUCAUUUUUAUAGCCCUGCAGCAGGUGCGACUGAGAAGUUCAAGAAGCUGUUUUCACAUCAACAGAGAGACAUUUCCCCAGCUCAUUAAAUGGGCUAACCUCCAGGAUUACCUAUUAGAUUGCUGUUUUAAAAGAGGAAUCUCUUAUGGGGCUCUGGGACCAACCUGUCUGUCUUGAAUCCCAUCACUGCCACUGUUAGCUGUGUCAUCUUAGACAAGUUACUCAACAUGUCUUUUGUGAAAUGCUGAUAAUACUAAUACCUAUCUUACAGGGUUGUGAUGAAAACUCAUGAGUUAAUAAUACAUAUAAAACAUUGAGAACAAUGCCUGAAACGCAGUAGUUAAUUUUUUUUUUUUUUUUUUUUUUUUUUUUAACAGCCAGACCUGCAGAAUAUGGAUGUUUCCACGCCAGGGGUUGAACUGGAGCUGCAGCUGGGGCUCCAACCAUGGCAACACCAGAUCCAAGCCACAUCUGCUACCUUGUGGCAAUGCCAGAUCCUUAACCCACUAAGCAAGGCCAGGGAACAAACCUGCAUUCUCACAGAGACAAUGUUGGGAGACCAGUCCACUGAUCCACAACAGGAACUCCUACCUAUUACUAUUAUAUUACUAUAUUUUCACAGCCAGCAUGCGUAUGGUUUGAAGAAAACGUUUGAAUCUACUCAAUGGGAAUGAAGUAACUAGGUAAAUAGAAAAAUUAUAUUGAAAUAUCUAACUAUAAAACAGUAGUACUGUCAAGAACUUCUCAAAUGACGUUUUAAAAACAUUAAUUUACUUUACUGGAUUUUCCAUUUUUAAAGUUUUUCAGGAGGCUAUUCCUCCCAAUAUUUUCCAAAGCUGUCAUGACUCAUUGAGAAAACACAGAAAAGCCCUGUAC
RNAcentral lists this long non-coding RNA (3925 nucleotides) under Sus scrofa (pig). Its description in RNAcentral is "lncRNA (ENSSSCG00015075667.1)". Lineage: Eukaryota; Metazoa; Chordata; Mammalia; Artiodactyla; Suidae. The record is from RNAcentral.